GCCCCCUGGUUGAUACAGAAGACUAUCAUAGGAAUCACAGAGGGCAACCGAAACCAAAGAAAUGACUCCAGCAUUUAGUCAAAGGCAUGCCUGCCUCAAGGGACAAGGAGGAACAGGAACCUCAACAAACAGGGCAAGAGAGAAGCCACAAGAGGACAGGUGGCAGCAUGAGAAAUGUUUCAUUCCCUGUUGUGGUCAUUAGCAUGUGGGGCUUGUGACACACAGAGCCCCAAUUUAAGGAUCUUGUGUUAUAAUUUUUCAAAGACUGUGCAGCAGGUGUACCAGCCAUAGAACUAACACAAAUACAUUGUGAUUUCUAAAGUAUUAUAUACUUUGGAGAUUAGAGGCUUGGGGAUCCUUCUGCUGAGUUUCUUGAGGAAACAUUCCCGAGAGUCAGCAGCAACGCUAAGGCUGAGGCAGCCUGCAAGAGGUAAGAUUCGUCAUCUUUGGGUAGCAGGGUCACCUUGAGAUUUAGCCUCCGGCCCAGUCUAGAGCAGAUCACCUGGAACUGAAAUUUUUAAACACAAGAAUAGGGAGUAUAGUAAUUACCAUGAAGGACAAUGUGGACUAAUGUCUCUCUUUGCUCAAGAGAUGAAGUGAAUUUAAAGGGGUGGGGAGAACACUGUGGCUGGAUGAUAUUUUCAAUAUAUCGAUUGACUUUCCCCCUCUGGCAGCUCCUGUUGCCUCUACCUCUCCCCCUCACUCCAUUCAGGCAUACUUUGUUGUAUUAGGAAAAAAGAAGUUUCACCAGAGGGCAAGAAGAAAAGGCUUUUGAUUUUCACAAGUCAAGACUCGGAGGGCACUUGGCAUGGAAACCCUAGCCUGAGUUGGAGCAAGCUUGUAGCCCCUGGUGGGACCUGAAGUUUUCCAGGGGCUUGGCAACGGCUGAGAGGAAGUGUGCCACACCUGAAGGAGUCUUGUGUUGGGGAACAGCUGGACAGCAAAGACCCAUGAGGAACAAGAACAUCUCAGCCAAGAGUGGUGCAGACACAACAUCACACAGAGAAUGGGAUGACCUCCCGAGCCCUGUUGCCCUGCUACAAUCCUCUUCUUUAGGCCCAGAAGGAAAAGAAAUUCACAGGAGACAAUCAGUCUUAGACUCUUCCUUGGUUAUGAAAAAGAGGCUCUUAGAUCUAAGAGAUCAUCUUGCCCCUGAAAUGGCCCCAGAAAGCUAUGGCCAGAGAAUAAUGAAGGGGAUUUUCUCGUGGCCUCAGACCAGUAACUAUUUCGGACAUUGGAAUGUUGGAAAAGGAAAAUCUCAGCCUUUGUUUCCUGCCUGUGCUCUCACCGUGCCUAGUCACCAUGAUGUCCUUCACAUGAAUCAUGGCAAAAUGCCAUUUCUCCUCUGCAGGUAG
Long non-coding RNA from Microcebus murinus (gray mouse lemur), 1355 nucleotides. The record is from Ensembl. NCBI's taxonomy places the organism in Eukaryota, Metazoa, Chordata, Mammalia, Primates, Cheirogaleidae.